GGAGAGGUCGCAUAGUCUGGCCUAGUGCGCGCGUCUCGAAAACGCGUAGGGUUUUACGGCCCUCGAGGGUUCGAAUCCCUCCCUCUCCG
Molecule: transfer RNA, 89 nt
Filed under: Caldilineae bacterium
Lineage: Bacteria; Bacillati; Chloroflexota; Caldilineae
Also listed under: 1 other name
Description: tRNA-Ser
Rfam family: tRNA
About the family: Transfer RNA (tRNA) molecules are approximately 80 nucleotides in length. Their secondary structure includes four short double-helical elements and three loops (D, anti-codon, and T loops).
Source: RNAcentral